CGGCCGUAGCGCGGUGGUCCCACCUGACCCCAUGCCGAACUCAGAAGUGAAACGCCGUAGCGCCGAUGGUAGUGUGGGGUUUCCCCAUGCGAGAGUAGGGAACUGCCAGGC
Molecule: ribosomal RNA, 111 nt
Filed under: Escherichia coli
Lineage: Bacteria; Pseudomonadati; Pseudomonadota; Gammaproteobacteria; Enterobacterales; Enterobacteriaceae
Source: RNAcentral